Molecule: transfer RNA, 92 nt
Filed under: Candidatus Dadabacteria bacterium
Lineage: Bacteria; Pseudomonadati; Thermodesulfobacteriota; Candidatus Dadabacteria
Also listed under: 2 other names
Description: tRNA-Ser
Rfam family: tRNA
About the family: Transfer RNA (tRNA) molecules are approximately 80 nucleotides in length.
Source: RNAcentral
GGAGAGGUGACCGAGCGGCCGAAGGUGCUCGCCUGGAAAGCGUGUAGGGGGUUCACGCUCCCUCGAGGGUUCGAAUCCCUCCCUCUCCGCCA